CCUAACACAUGCAAGUCGAGCGCGCCCUUCGGGGUGAGCGGCGGACGGGUUAGUAACGCGUGGGAACGUGCCCAGAUCUAAGGAAUAGCCACUGGAAACGGUGAGUAAUACCUUAUACGCCCUUCGGGGGAAAGAUUUAUCGGAUUUGGAUCGGCCCGCGUUAGAUUAGGUAGUUGGUGGGGUAAUGGCCUACCAAGCCUACGAUCUAUAGCUGGUUUUAGAGGAUGAUCAGCAACACUGGGACUGAGACACGGCCCAGACUCCUACGGGAGGCAGCAGUGGGGAAUCUUGGACAAUGGGGGCAACCCUGAUCCAGCCAUGCCGCGUGAGUGAUGAAGGCCUUAGGGUCGUAAAGCUCUUUCGCCUGUGAUGAUAAUGACAGUAGCAGGUAAAGAAACCCCGGCUAACUCCGUGCCAGCAGCCGCGGUAAUACGGAGGGGGUUAGCGUUGUUCGGAAUUACUGGGCGUAAAGCGCGCGUAGGCGGAUUAGUCAGUUAGAGGUGAAAUCCCCAGGGCUCAACCCUGGAACUGCCUUUAAUACUGCUAGUCUUGAGUUCGAGAGAGGUGAGUGGAAUUUCCGAGUGUAGAGGUGAAAUUCGUAGAUAUUUCGGAGGAACACCAGUGGCGAAGGCGGCUCACUGGCUCGAUACUGACGCCUGAGGUGCGAAAGUUGUGGGGAGCCAAACAGGAUUAGAUACCCCUGGGUAGUCCACACCGUAAACGAUGAAUGCCAGUUCGUCGGCAAGCAAUGCUUGUCGGUGACCACACCCUAAACGAGAUUAUAGCAUUCCCGCCCUGGGGAGGUACCGGUCCGCAAGGAUUAUAAACUUCAAAGGGAAUUUGACCGGGGGGCCCCCGCCACAA
Molecule: ribosomal RNA, 864 nt
Filed under: uncultured Nautella sp.
Lineage: Bacteria; Pseudomonadati; Pseudomonadota; Alphaproteobacteria; Rhodobacterales; Roseobacteraceae
Description: bacterial SSU rRNA
Rfam family: Bacterial small subunit ribosomal RNA
Source: RNAcentral